UUAAUUAAAGCCAAACAGAGGCGUAUUAUUGUUAAUAAUAUCAUUGAAUUACAUUCUAAUUAAA
This 64-nucleotide transfer RNA is filed under the name Prolachesilla sp. PrspLA. RNAcentral describes it as "tRNA-Asn". The record is from RNAcentral. Lineage: Eukaryota; Metazoa; Arthropoda; Insecta; Psocodea; Lachesillidae.